Molecule: small nuclear RNA, 107 nt
Organism: Schistocerca nitens (vagrant locust)
Lineage: Eukaryota; Metazoa; Arthropoda; Insecta; Orthoptera; Acrididae
Source: RefSeq, a predicted model, not a curated record
GUACUUACUUCGACAGCACAUACACUAAAAUUGGAACGAUACAGUGAAGAUUGGCACUGCCUGUGCGCGAGGAUGGCACGAAAAAUCGUGAAGCAUUCCACAUUUUU